Molecule: ribosomal RNA, 433 nt
Filed under: uncultured bacterium
Lineage: Bacteria
Description: partial 16S ribosomal RNA
Rfam family: Bacterial small subunit ribosomal RNA
Source: RNAcentral
AACGAACGCUGGCGGCAUGCCUAAUACAUGCAAGUCGAACGAGAUCUUCGGAUCUAGUGGCGCACGGGUGCGUAACGCGUGGGAAUCUGCCCUUGGGUUCGGAAUAACUUCUGGAAACGGAAGCUAAUACCGGAUGAUGACGUAUGUCCAAAGAUUUAUCGCCCAAGGUGGAGCCCGCGUAGGAUUAGCUUGUUGGUGGGGUAAAGGCCCACCAAGGCGACGAUCCUUAGCUGGUUAGAGAGGAUGGUCAGCCACACUGGGACUCGGACGCGGCCCAGACUCCUACGGGAGGGGGGAGAAGGGGAUAUAGGAACAUGGGCGGAAGGAUGAUCCAGCACGGCCGGGAGAGUGAUGUAGGCCGUAGAGAAGUAAAGCGCUUUUAACCGGGAUGAUAAUGACGGUACCGGGAGAAUAAGCCCCGGCUAACUACGUG